UACGGAGGGUGCAAGCGUUAUCCGGAUUCACUGGGUUUAAAGGGUGCGUAGGAGGGCAGGUAAGUCAGUGGUGAAAUCUCCGAGCUUAACUUGGAAACUGCCGUUGAUACUAUCUGUCUUGAAUAUUGUGGAGGUGAGCGGAAUAUGUCAUGUAGCGGUGAAAUGCAUAGAUAUGUCACAGAACACCAAUUGCGAAGGCAGCUUACUAUGGUUUUAUUGACACUGAGGCACGAAAGCGUGGGGAUCAAACAGG
Molecule: ribosomal RNA, 253 nt
Filed under: uncultured bacterium
Lineage: Bacteria
Description: partial 16S ribosomal RNA
Rfam family: Bacterial small subunit ribosomal RNA
Source: RNAcentral